Molecule: ribosomal RNA, 406 nt
Filed under: uncultured bacterium
Lineage: Bacteria
Description: partial 16S ribosomal RNA
Rfam family: Bacterial small subunit ribosomal RNA
Source: RNAcentral
AUUGACCGCUGGCGGCAGGCCUAACACAUGCAAGUCGAACGAGUAGCGGACGGGUGAGUAAUUGCUGGGAAACUGCCUGAUGGAGGGGGAUAACUGCUAGAAACGGUAGCUAAUACCGCAUACCAUCGGAUGUGCCCAGAGGGGAUGAGCUAGUAGGUGGGGUAAAGGCUCACCUAGGCGAAGCUCCCUAGCGGGUCUGAGAGGAUGACCAGCCACACUGGAACUGAGACACGGCCCAGACUCCUACGUGAGGCAGCAGUGGGGAAUAUUGGACAAUGGGCGCAAGUCUGAUGCAGCAAGGCCGCGUGUAUGAAGAAGGUCUUCGGGUUGUAAAGUACUGUCAGCGGGGAGGCGUUACCCGCAGAAGAAGCAACGGCUAACUCCGUGCCAGCAGCCGCGGUAAUAC